GAUGAAGAACGCAGCAAAAUGCGAUAAGUAAUGUGAAUUGCAGAAUUCAGUGAAUCAUCGAAUCUUUGAACGCACAUUGCGCCCGCCAGUAUUCUGGCGGGCAUGCCUGUUCGAGCGUCAUUUCAACCCUCAAGCUCAGCUUGGUGUUGGGACUCGCGGUAACCCGCGUUCCCCAAAUCGAUUGGCGGUCACGUCGAGCUUCCAUAGCGUAGUAAUCAUACACCUCGUUACUGGUAAUCGUCGCAGCCACGCCGUAAAACCCCAACUUCUGAAUGUUGACCUCGGAUCAGGUAGGAAUACCCGCUGAACUUAAGCAUAUCAAUAAGCGGAGGA
Molecule: unclassified non-coding RNA, 333 nt
Filed under: soil metagenome
Description: partial contains 5.8S ribosomal RNA, internal transcribed spacer 2, and large subunit ribosomal RNA
Rfam family: 5.8S ribosomal RNA (bases 1-120)
Source: RNAcentral